Molecule: ribosomal RNA, 1533 nt
Filed under: Flavobacteriales bacterium
Lineage: Bacteria; Pseudomonadati; Bacteroidota; Flavobacteriia; Flavobacteriales
Description: bacterial SSU rRNA
Rfam family: Bacterial small subunit ribosomal RNA
Source: RNAcentral
ACAAUGGAGAGUUUGAUCCUGGCUCAGGAUGAACGCUAGCGGCAGGCUUAACACAUGCAAGUCGAGGGGCAGCAUGAACAAUAGCAAUAUUGUUUGAUGGCGACCGGCGCACGGGUGCGUAACACGUAUGCAAUCUACCUUGUACUGGGGCACAACUUCGAGAAAUCGGAGCUAAUUCCCCAUAAUUCUAAGAAGUGGCAUCACUUUUUAGUUAAAGCUCAGGCGGUACAAGAUGAGCAUGCGCCCAAUUAGCUAGUUGGUGAGGUAACGGCUCACCAAGGCUACGAUUGGUAGGGGGUCUGAGAGGAUGAUCCCCCACACUGGUACUGAGACACGGACCAGACUCCUACGGGAGGCAGCAGUGAGGAAUAUUGCGCAAUGGAGGCAACUCUGACGCAGCCAUGCCGCGUGAAGGAUUGAAGGUCCUAUGGAUUGUAAACUUCUUUUGUACGGGAAAAAACCCCUGGUCUUGACCGGGGCUGAUGGUACCGUAAGAAUAAGCACCGGCUAACUCCGUGCCAGCAGCCGCGGUAAUCCGGAGGAUCCGAGCGUUAUCCGGAUUUACUGGGUUUAAAGGGUGCGUAGGCGGCUCCCUCAGUCAGCGGUGAAAUGUGUCGGCUCAACCGACAACCUGCCGUUGAUACUGGGGAGCUUGAGUUGGGUUGAGGCAGGCGGAAUGUGCGGUGUAGCGGUGAAAUGCUUAGAUAUCGCACAGAACACCUAUUGCGAAGGCAGCUGGCUAAUUUGCAACUGACGCUGAGGGACGAAAGCGUGGGGAUCAAACAGGAUUAGAUACCCUGGUAGUCCACGCCGUAAACGAUGAUAGCUCGCUGUUGGCGAUACACCGCCAGCGGCCAAGCGAAAGCGAUAAGCUAUCCACCUGGGGAGUACGGCCGCAAGGCUGAAACUCAAAGGAAUUGACGGGGGCCCGCACAAGCGGAGGAACAUGUGGUUUAAUUCGAUGAUACGCGAGGAACCUUACCCGGGCUAGAACGCCGAGCGAAUGUGGGGGAAACUUCACAGCCAGCAAUGGCGGUCGGCGAGGUGCUGCAUGGUUGUCGUCAGCUCGUGCCGUGAGGUGUCGGCUUAAGUGCCAUAACGAGCGCAACCCCUAUCGGUAGUUGCCAGCGGGUCAAGCCGGGAACUCUGCCGAAACUGCCAGCGUAAGCUGCGAGGAAGGCGGGGAUGACGUCAAAUCAGCACGGCCCUUACGUCCGGGGCGACACACGUGUUACAAUGGCCGGUACAGAGGGCAGCUACCUGGUGACAGGGUGCGAAUCUCCAAAGCCGGUCUCAGUUCGGAUCGGAGUCUGCAACUCGACUCCGUGAAGCUGGAUUCGCUAGUAAUCGCGCAUCAGCCACGGCGCGGUGAAUACGUUCCCGGGCCUUGUACACACCGCCCGUCAAGCCAUGGGAGCCGAGGGUACCUGAAGAUGGUGACUUUACGGGGAGCUAUCUAAGGUAAAAUCGGUGACUGGGGCUAAGUCGUAACAAGGUAGCCGUACCGGAAGGUGCGGCUGGAAUACCUCCUUU